AUAGUAAUGUAGGGGAGCUCAAACAUGAGCUGAGAGACCGAAUUGUAGGAAUACCCUUAGAACCUGAUAUGGUAAAACCAUCGUAGGGAACAUGUACAAAUGCCUC
Molecule: non-coding RNA, 106 nt
Organism: Lysinibacillus sp. BF-4
Lineage: Bacteria; Bacillati; Bacillota; Bacilli; Caryophanales; Bacillaceae
Source: Rfam